GAUGAACGCUGGCGGCGUGCUUAACACAUGCAAGUCGAGCGAAGCGUUUUAAAGGAAGUUUUCGGAUGGAAUUUAAAAUGACUUAGCGGCGGACGGGUGAGUAACGCGUGGGUAACCUGCCUCAUACAGGGGGAUAACAGUUAGAAAUGACUGCUAAUACCGCAUAAGCGCACAGUGCUGCAUAGCACAGUGUGAAAAACUCCGGUGGUAUGAGAUGGACCCGCGUCUGAUUAGGUAGUUGGUGAGGUAACGGCCCACCAAGCCGACGAUCAGUAGCCGACCUGAGAGGGUGACCGGCCACAUUGGGACUGAGACACGGCCCAAACUCCUACGGGAGGCAGCAGUGGGGAAUAUUGGACAAUGGGGGAAACCCUGAUCCAGCGACGCCGCGUGAGUGAAGAAGUAUUUCGGUAUGUAAAGCUCUAUCAGCAGGGAAGAAAAUGACGGUACCUGACUAAGAAGCCCCGGCUAACUACGUGCCAGCAGCCGCGGUAA
Molecule: ribosomal RNA, 495 nt
Filed under: uncultured bacterium
Lineage: Bacteria
Description: partial 16S ribosomal RNA
Rfam family: Bacterial small subunit ribosomal RNA
Source: RNAcentral